Molecule: ribosomal RNA, 253 nt
Filed under: uncultured bacterium
Lineage: Bacteria
Description: partial 16S ribosomal RNA
Rfam family: Bacterial small subunit ribosomal RNA
Source: RNAcentral
UACGUAGGGUGCGAGCGUUGUCCGGAAUUAUUGGGCGUAAAGGGCUCGUAGGCGGUUUGUCGCGUCCGGAGUGAAAACACCGGGCUUAACUCGGUGCUUGCUUUCGAUACGGGCAGACUAGAGGCAUGCAGGGGAGAACGGAAUUCCUGGUGUAGCGGUGAAAUGCGCAGAUAUCAGGAGGAACACCGGUGGCGAAGGCGGUUCUCUGGGCAUGUCCUGACGCUGAGGAGCGAAAGUGUGGGGAGCGAACAGG